GGGGCUGAAUUUUAAGCUCGACAUUGGACGUUAUCGGUUUGAUCCGCAGGUCGCUUGCCAGCGUUAUAGGCAACAUUAAUAGAUGCAAAAACUUCUAUUAGCGACGCAGUCAACAAGGUUCUAGGCGCACGCCUAGCCCGCGCUGACUUCGCCCUAGCAGCUUAAUCUGCUAAAAAUGCUCCUGCUUCAUGUCAGAUAGAGUAGGAGCGUUACAUAUUUUUCUGACUGCUCGCCGCGUGCCAUUUGAGCGCAGCGCUAAGACUAGAAUUGCUCAAUCGGAAUGUUUGUUCAUAUAAAUAACCGAUUGUUAAGACCACAAAAUGAACUACACCUGUAGACGACAAAUCUUCUAACCCGAUGGACCCGGCGGCGGUAGCCGGCAGCUCCACCA
RNAcentral lists this transfer-messenger RNA (391 nucleotides) under Candidatus Saccharimonadota bacterium. It matches the Rfam family "transfer-messenger RNA". From Rfam's summary of the family: Bacterial tmRNA, also known as 10Sa RNA or SsrA, is named for its dual tRNA and mRNA-like properties. Its role is to liberate the mRNA from a stalled ribosome. RNAcentral also lists the same sequence under 1 other name. The record is from RNAcentral. Lineage: Bacteria; Candidatus Saccharimonadota.